UGGGGAAUAUUGCACAAUGGGCGCAAGCCUGAUGCAGCCAUGCCGCGUGUAUGAAGAAGGCCUUCGGGUUGUAAAGUACUUUCAGCGGGGAGGAAGGUGUUGUGGUUAAUAACCGCAGCAAUUGACGUUACCCGCAGAAGAAGCACCGGCUAACUCCGUGCCAGCAGCCGCGGCAGUACGGAGGGUGCAAGCGUUAAUCGGAAUUACUGGGCGUAAAGCGCACGCAGGCGGUCUGUCAAGUCGGAUGUGAAAUCCCCGGGCUCAACCUGGGAACUGCAUUCGAAACUGGCAGGCUAGAGUCUUAUAGAGGGGGGUAGAAUUCCAGGUGUAGCGGUGAAAUGCGUAGAGAUCUGGAGGAAUACCGGUGGCGAAGGCGGCCCCCUGGACAAAGACUGACGCUCAGGUGCGAAAGCGUGGGGAGCAAACAGGAUUAGAUACCCUGGUAGUCCACGCCGUAAACGAUGUCGACUUGGAGGUUGUGCCCUUGAGGUGUGGCUUCCGGAGCUAACGCGUUAAGUCGACCGCCUGGGGAGUACGGCCGCAAGGUUA
RNAcentral lists this ribosomal RNA (549 nucleotides) under uncultured bacterium. RNAcentral's name for it is "bacterial SSU rRNA". It matches the Rfam family "Bacterial small subunit ribosomal RNA", at positions 355 to 896 of the family's 1533-position model. The record is from RNAcentral.